CCCAAAAUCAGUGACUAAAAUCCCUAACCAAACAGCCCCUUUCUCUUUCUUCUUCAACUAAACAGACCGAACGUCACCACCUUCCACCAUCGCCGCCACCCCACCUCCCAUCACGUCACUUCACCACCACCACGCCUAUAUCCCACAAAAUCCGCUACCUACACCCCUAUUCUCCUUUCUCACACUCCAUCUCUGAAGCUUGCAGGCUCCAUGUGCGAUUUCAUGGAGCUCUUCAAGAGGAUUCGGAGACCCGACGACGACAUUAGCCUCAGUUGGCUGUCCCGGAGAAGAAUCGUUGCGGCAAUUCAAGGCAAACAGAUGCUGCAUUUUGAGCCAACGCGUUUCUGCACUUCUGGGAAAAUAGCUACUGCUAUGUUUUUUUUUUAAUGAGCAGCUGCAUUUUAGAAAUAUUGUUGCUGCCUUGUUUUAAAAUAUAAUGAGUAAAUGUUACAUUGAAAGAACAAA
Long non-coding RNA from Lycium barbarum (goji berry), 465 nucleotides. RefSeq lists it as uncharacterized. The transcript is spliced from 3 exons. The record is from RefSeq and is a predicted model, not a curated record. Lineage: Eukaryota; Viridiplantae; Streptophyta; Magnoliopsida; Solanales; Solanaceae.